GAUGAACGCUGGCGGCGUGCCUAAUACAUGCAAGUCGAGCGAACAGACGAGGAGCUUGCUCCUUUGACGUUAGCGGCGGACGGGUGAGUAACACGUGGGUAACCUACCUAUAAGACUGGGAUAACUUCGGGAAACCGGAGCUAAUACCGGAUAAUAUUUCGAACCGCAUGGUUCGAUAGUGAAAGAUGGCUUUGCUAUCACUUAUAGAUGGACCUGCGCCGUAUUAGCUAGUUGGUAAGGUAACGGCUUACCAAGGCAACGAUACGUAGCCGACCUGAGAGGGUGAUCGGCCACACUGGAACUGAGACACGGUCCAGACUCCUACGGGAGGCAGCAGUAGGGAAUCUUCCGCAAUGGGCGAAAGCCUGACGGAGCAACGCCGCGUGAGUAAUGAAGGUCUUCGGAUCGUAAAACUCUGUUAUUAGGGAAGAACAAACGUGUAAGUAACUGUGCACGUCUUGACGGUACCUAAUCAGAAAGCCACGGCUAACUACGUG
Molecule: ribosomal RNA, 497 nt
Filed under: uncultured bacterium
Lineage: Bacteria
Description: partial 16S ribosomal RNA
Rfam family: Bacterial small subunit ribosomal RNA
Source: RNAcentral